GGGAGAGGGAUAGGGCACCCAGCAAGCAGGGGCUGCUUAGAAUGCAGAGGGAGAGGCAGAGCGCAGGCAGGAGGAACCGAGGGGCUCGGCAAACCACGCCCAUGGCCACAGGCUUUCCGACCCAGAGCUCUGAGGACAGAGUGGAUAGGAAGAAAGGUCUGAGAAGGUGGGCCAGCCCCCUCUGCCCCUGCCCGGCUGGAGGCCAGUGCCACCUGCACAGAAGCCUCCUCUGCCGACAGCUCCUGAGGCCUCAGGAGGCUCCCUGCCAUCCCGGGAGGGGCAUCCUGGCCUGUGGGCAGAGCUGGAAGGAGAGAAUUUCAGGCCCAUCCCCAUCCCCUUCGAGCCUCCCAUGGGGGCGGGGGGUGCCCAGGCCCACCUCCUCUGGA
Myotis davidii is the source of this 386-nucleotide long non-coding RNA. RefSeq lists it as uncharacterized. Lineage: Eukaryota; Metazoa; Chordata; Mammalia; Chiroptera; Vespertilionidae. The transcript is spliced from 3 exons. The record is from RefSeq and is a predicted model, not a curated record.